AGGACGAACGCUGGCGGCGUGCUUCACACAUGCAAGUCGAACGGGGCUCAUCCGGUGGUAACACCGGAGAAGGCCUAGUGGCGAACGGGUGAGUAACACGUGAGGAACCUGCCCCGAAGACCGGGAUAACAGCGGGAAACCGCUGCUAAUACCGGAUGCCCCCACCGGGCCGCAUGACCUGGUGAGGAAAUGGGCUUCCGCUUCGGGAGGGUCUCGCGGCCUAUCAGCUUGUUGGUGGGGUAACGGCCCACCAAGGCUACGACGGGUAGCUGGUCUGAGAGGACGACCAGCCACACUGGGACUGAGACACGGCCCAGACUCCUACGGGAGGCAGCAGUGGGGGAAUCUUGCGCAAUGGGCGAAAGCCUGACGCAGCAACGCCGCGUGAGGGAUGAAUGCCUUCGGGUUGUAAACCUCUUUCAAGCAGGGACGAUAGUGACGGUACCUGCAGAAGAAGCUCCGGCCAACUACGCGCCAGCAGCCGC
Molecule: ribosomal RNA, 485 nt
Filed under: uncultured bacterium
Lineage: Bacteria
Description: SSU rRNA
Rfam family: Bacterial small subunit ribosomal RNA
Source: RNAcentral